This is a long non-coding RNA of Zophobas morio, 1571 nucleotides long. RefSeq lists it as uncharacterized. NCBI's taxonomy places the organism in Eukaryota, Metazoa, Arthropoda, Insecta, Coleoptera, Tenebrionidae. The transcript is spliced from 4 exons. The record is from RefSeq and is a predicted model, not a curated record.
AAUCCCGCAAUGUUUCUGGGUUUAUGUGCUUACAUUUUUGCUGCGUGCAACAUGCUGCUACUUUAUAAUUACAGCGGCCAAAUUUUGACACAGAAAACCGACAUUUUAUGGAAUUUAUAUGAAAGCCCUUGGUAUCUGGCUGAUGGGGAAUUUAAAAAAACCUUUCUUACAGUACAAAUGAAAACUAGUCAAGAAAUCUGCACUAAAGCUGGUUCUUAUUUUUCACUUUCAGCUCCAACUUAUAUAACGUUCAUGAAGACAGCAUUUUCGUAUAUUGCCCUCUUGAAAGAAUUAACUUUUAGAGGAAAAUAAAGGAAUCCCAACAUUGUAUUUAAAAUGCAUUACAUGAAAUAUUUAAGAAAGAUGAACCAGCGGAGUCGACACUGCUUAACACAUUGGGCAAGAGUGAACCUUCGGAAGAUGAAGGCGAAAUUUUAGACAUAAUCCUUUCCUUUUCCUCAACGAAAUUUCCGAGACGAUUGUUAGAUAUUUUAACGAAGUUUUGAUGGUAAAAUCUGAAAGGCAAUUCUAUUCUAACCGUCCACGGAAUCUUCGAGCUAGUCUUCUGCCACGGCAGAUGACUUCCAACCGCCGCGCCGUAGCGUUUAAUGGUUGUCAUAUUGGCCCCUGAAUCAGCUAAUAAUGAUGCGGAUGAUGUUCUAAAACAAUGUCCGGUAAAUUGUUUCGAAUUUGGCAGUUUCUACAACUUGGCAAUAUCAGAGAGCAUCUUUCGGAAAGUAUAAUAUUAAUACCAACCGGCUGAACAGUGCACUUAUUGAUUGAAUACAUGAAAAUAAAACUAUAAUGACCUAAUAUAUCGGUAUUUGGAAUCUGGUGCUGGUGCUGUGCUGUAUAGGUACUCCUAGUAUAAAAACAUAUAAAAAAUAAAAUAUUUGAAUUUUGGCCAGUCACCUAAUAUUAACCCCAGGAAGGGUUGGUAAGAUUUUUGUUGGCAUUGAGGGCUUGUAACUGUUUGAACUUUCAGUUCGGUACGUGUUCUAUUCGGUGUUAUUAGUUAUUACCUAUUUAGUCAGUGAGUAUAUCUUAAAUGCUGUGGACGAGUAUAAGCUUAUAAAACUUGCUCCCCUGAAAAAGAAGAAAGAUGAUGAACUAUUCUUUGCGUUACUUGAGGUUGACAUUAAAGAGACAUACAAAAAGGCUGUAAACGUUGGGCAUUGCUUGGUCGGCUUGGAUGCUUGUUCAAUUUAUUGCGGCAUAGACAUUAUACGAUGUUUCAAAUGUAAUGGAUUUAAUCAUUCAGCCUCUACCUGUAAGAGUGAGUUAGUGUGCCGUCGAUGUGCUGAAAGGCAUGUUAUAAAAGAAUGCAAAGCUGUAAAUCUUUGUUGUAUUAAUAGUUCGAAUUUAAAAUCAAAGGAGAACUUUGAAAACAUAGCUGUUAAAAAGUUAUUGGUAUUGUGGGAGUACAGACAUUAUUCAAAUACCCAAUUAUAGCUGUUAAACAUGCUGCUUGGGGUUUUCUAAAGUGUCAAGCUCAUCAACAGAUAAUCAAUCAACUCAAACAGGAUGUUUUUGGUAUCUCCAUAUAGCAGUCAAAUUUUUUGCCUAUCGAU